RNAcentral lists this long non-coding RNA (199 nucleotides) under Lathyrus oleraceus (garden pea). Its description in RNAcentral is "Pisum sativum (pea) long non-coding RNA (PSAT_LNC024253)". The record is from RNAcentral. Lineage: Eukaryota; Viridiplantae; Streptophyta; Magnoliopsida; Fabales; Fabaceae.
UUUUUUUCUUGAUAAAAGUUGUAUGUUGUUGAUGAUUUUGUUUUUCUUGAUAAAAGUUGUAUGUUGUUGAUAAGGUAUGUUGUCGAUAAGGUAUGUUGUUGAUAAAAUUUCUCAGUUUUCGAUGAUUUUGUUUUUGUUAAUAAAAAUACUAUGUUGUUUAGGGUAUGUUGUUGAUGAUGAUAAAAGUUGUAUGUUGUUG